Molecule: non-coding RNA, 82 nt
Filed under: Legionella shakespearei DSM 23087
Lineage: Bacteria; Pseudomonadati; Pseudomonadota; Gammaproteobacteria; Legionellales; Legionellaceae
Description: Legionella RNA 69
Rfam family: Legionella RNA 69
Source: Rfam by way of RNAcentral
AGACAGCGCUAGCGCGCUUCCUCAGCCCGAACGGCAUCGAAGUAACGAAUGGAUAAAACAAGCCUCUUAUCCAUGACUCACU